RNAcentral lists this transfer RNA (85 nucleotides) under Candidatus Dormiibacterota bacterium. RNAcentral describes it as "tRNA-Leu". It matches the Rfam family "tRNA". Rfam says of the family: Transfer RNA (tRNA) molecules are approximately 80 nucleotides in length. Their secondary structure includes four short double-helical elements and three loops (D, anti-codon, and T loops). Lineage: Bacteria; Bacillati; Candidatus Dormiibacterota. The record is from RNAcentral.
GCCGGGCUGGCGGAAUGGCAGACGCGGCGGUCUUAAAAACCGCUGGAGGGCAACCUCCGUCCGGGUUCGAUCCCCGGGCUCGGCA